RNAcentral lists this long non-coding RNA (2504 nucleotides) under Gossypium barbadense (sea-island cotton). Its description in RNAcentral is "long non-coding RNA (GBAR_LNC007093)". The record is from RNAcentral. Lineage: Eukaryota; Viridiplantae; Streptophyta; Magnoliopsida; Malvales; Malvaceae.
UUUGGUAGCCAUAGUUGCAAGUGAGAAAAAAACUUUCUCUUGCUCUUUAAUUAUUAUUUCUUCAAAUCAAACACAAGUUUCACCCAAACCACAAACUUUUCCAAUAAAGUAGACGACCCUUUUUUAAGCUCAUCUCCUUUAUUAUCUUCAUCAUUCAAGCCUAGGUUUUCAUAGGCUUAGUGAGAGAAAACUUGAGGCAGUCAAAGAAAGCUUCAAUCAAAGUAAGAUACGGUAUUUUUUUUAUCUUCCAAGUGUUUACUUAGGAUAUUUUAGAAGAGAAGUGUUAGGAAAUGUGUAUUAAUAUAUAUUGUUUAUAUUUUUGGUAUAAUAAAUGUUGAUGGGUGGAUAAAAUGUCUUUGAGCAGAGGAAUUAUUGGAAUCAAAACUUGAGAGUGAUUGAGUAAGCUUUGUUUUGGAAUUUUUUCCUUGAAAAUAAUAAUCACCAUGGAUUUCUUAACUUUCCUUUAAUAAAUCAAUUUUGAAAAAUUGUUCAAAUUAAUGAAUUAAAGUUUUGUGAUGAGUUUGUAAGCUAAAAAUAUAAGAAAUAUUUUUUUAAAGCCAUGGUUUAGUAAGAUAUACUAGUUUGGACAAAUUAAUGGCAUUUAUGGAACUUGGCUUAGUUACAUGAAAUGAGAUGAAAAAAUAGUAUGUGAAUUUAUGAGAUGGUAUCAUGUGAUAAAAAUAGAUUAAUGGACAAAUAUUAAAUUAAAAGUUGUGGUUCAAUAAAACUAAAUGAGAUUCCGUGAAAAAGGAGAAACUUCUUAAUAAAUAAAGUCUAUAUAUAUAUAUAUGAAUAAUGAAUGGUUACUUGAGUGAAAUACGUACGUGGAAAUAUUGUUGAGAGCAUUAAAUGCUUGAAAACCUUAAUAAAAACAAAUGUUAAGUGAAGUGAGAUUAAAAAAUGUAAGAUAAUGAUGGAUGCUUGAAAAGUCCAAUAAUGAAAUGUUUUUUAAUUAUCCAAUAAUGAAAUGUUAAUAUGUGCCUUAUAUCAUUAAAAUAUUAUUAAAUUCUAUUUAUAUGAAAAACCAUGUUAAAAGUGCAAUGUGAUUUUAUUAUGAAAUGUCAUAGUAAUUAGUGAUUAACGAAGAUAUAAAUGGCAUAUCAUAGGAGUUUGUAAAUUCUACUACCUGACUCGAUUUAUCAAAUCCAAAUAUAGGAUGUCACAAUACCUACAUACUUAAUAAAAAAUUUUGAAAACUGGCGAAGACCCUACUAAACAUGCCUUUUAUUUGUUUAUUUAUUAUUCUAAGCCAAAGAUUUUGACUUAAGAUUACAACAUAUUCUCAAAUAUUAGUAUAAGUCAAUCUAACUUAAAUAUUUAUUGAAAUAGACUCAAUCUUAGCGUAUAAUACUAUUCACCACUUGAAAACAUAUUCCCAAAAGUGUCCUUUGCAUAUUGCUAUUCAAACUGCCACCUUGAUGCAUUCCUGGCUUGUUUCAUCCAUGCCUUGGUUCAAUAACAAGAACUUGCAUUACACAUAGACUUCCGCAAUUUCAACAGAAUUUAAUGAAUCUCAACCAUCAUUACCUUUAAGUGGUGUUUUUGAAAUCCUCGACUUAAGAAUUCUAGACUUCCUUUUUCACUUUUUAUUGAUACUUUUUUAUUCCUGGUGGAUAACCAUAAGCCCAUCUCCACCCCUUUCCACCUUAUACACAUUCCGCUCAGUUGGCGGAUCACAAACUUAAGUCUUUAUUUCGGACCCUAUCUCAAAAAUAUUUUUUAAGAUAGAAGAUGGAUAUAUUCCUUGGAAUGAUAUGCGCGCAGCUGCUAUCCAUUGUGGAUUCAUAAACUGGCUCUAGCAUAUUGUAAGGUCUGUAGUCACACUAUACCUAUAAUUUAGUCCAGUCUAACGAACUUGGUCCGGUAAAUACCAUAUUCAUGAUCAUACAAUGGAAAUACAUAUGAUUCUGAUACAUAAUAUGAGAAUUUCCAGGAUGGACGGACAUGUAUACCACCCUAAGUUUCGGAUAUGUUAGGGUCUCUACCUUGGUUGAUCACUAAACUGGAUUCACUAGUUAGGUACACUACGAAGAUUCUCCUAUAGAAAAUGCCACAAAGGCAUACUCAGAUCGUUGCUACAAAAUGGAACUAACAUCUCACACUUAAGUGUUACAAAAUUCACCUUACAGGCUUCCCGGAUGACUUGCCACAAAGGCUUCCAAGAUGUCUUGCCAAAAAGGCUUCCUAGAUGUCUUGCCACAAAGGCUUUACAAAUGAUCUGCCAUAAAGCUUCCUAGAUGACUUACCACAAAGGCUUUACAAAUGAUCCACCACAAAGGCUUCUUAGAUGUCUUGCUACAAAGGAUUUACAAAUGAUCUGCCACAAAGCUUCCUAGAUGACUCGUCACAAAGGCUUUACGAUGAUCCACCAAAAAGGCUUCCCAAAUGACUCACCAGAAAGGCUUUACAGAUUAUCUGCCACAAAGUCUUUACAGAUUAUUCGCCAUAAAGGCUUCUCAGAUGUCUUGCCAUAAAGGCUUUACAGAUAAUUUGCCAUAAAGGCU